GAUGAACGCUGGCGGCGUGCCUAAUACAUGCAAGUCGAGCGAACAGACGAGGAGCUUGCUCCUCUGACGUUAGCGGCGGACGGGUGAGUAACACGUGGAUAACCUACCUAUAAGACUGGGAUAACUUCGGGAAACCGGAGCUAAUACCGGAUAAUAUAUUGAACCGCAUGGUUCAAUAGUGAAAGACGGUUUUGCUGUCACUUCUAGAUGGAUCCGCGCCGCAUUAGCUAGUUGGUAAGGUAACGGCUUCUGAAGGCAAGGAGGCGUAGCCGAAUUGACAGGGUGAUCGGCCGCACUGGAACUGAGACACGGUCCAGACUCCUACGGGAGGCAGCAGUAGGGAAUCUUCCGCAAUGGGCGAAAGCUUGACGGAGCAACGCCGCGUGAGUGAUGAAGGUCUUCGGAUCGUAAAACUCUGUUAUUAGGGAAGAACAAAUGUGUAAGUAACUAUGCACGUCUUGACGGUACCUAAUCAGAAAGCCACGGCUAACUACGUG
This 497-nucleotide ribosomal RNA is filed under the name uncultured bacterium. RNAcentral's name for it is "partial 16S ribosomal RNA". It matches the Rfam family "Bacterial small subunit ribosomal RNA", at positions 28 to 507 of the family's 1533-position model. The record is from RNAcentral.